Molecule: transfer RNA, 84 nt
Filed under: Treponema sp.
Lineage: Bacteria; Pseudomonadati; Spirochaetota; Spirochaetia; Treponematales; Treponemataceae
Also listed under: 1 other name
Description: tRNA-Leu
Rfam family: tRNA
About the family: Transfer RNA (tRNA) molecules are approximately 80 nucleotides in length. Their secondary structure includes four short double-helical elements and three loops (D, anti-codon, and T loops).
Source: RNAcentral
GCCCGGAUGGCGAAAUUGGUAGACGCGCUAGGUUCAGGUCCUAGUGGAAGCAAUUCUAUGAGAGUUCAAGUCUCUCUCCGGGUA